UGCGGUAUCAUAGAAGGGACCCAGAAGCUGGACUUGACAUUCCCUGUGGGUCCCUUCCAACUUGGGAUACUCCAUGAUUCUGUGAAGGUGCUGGCUACUUAUUUUCUGCUAUCUGAUAUUUGUCCUCUUCAUUAUCAGAAAUGCCCUUCAGAAGAGGUUCUUCCUUAGAUAUUGAAGAUCAGAUCUGAUUCAAUAAGGUAGGGUAAGAGGCAUAUAGAGAAAUCAAAUAAUCUAUCCUGAGAGCAUGCAAGCACUCUAGUAAUAAAAUCCCAGUGAACCCUGGCUAUAACUCUUUUGAUGUCCUCAUCAGUGGCCACAGUCCUCCAAGGAUUGAUGGGUAGAUGCUGUGGUGGGGUCCAGGCAGCUUUGUGGAAAAGUCUCCAAUGGUCUGGUAGGAUGAGAAGGUCCAGGGGUAGUUUGGAAUACGAGGAGAAGCAUCACCUCCCAAGACGGUAAACCUACUGAAAAGACUAUUCAAAUUCCAGAAGGAC
This 491-nucleotide long non-coding RNA is filed under the name Anas platyrhynchos (mallard). Its description in RNAcentral is "lncRNA (ENSAPLG00020006888.1)". Lineage: Eukaryota; Metazoa; Chordata; Aves; Anseriformes; Anatidae. The record is from RNAcentral.